This 251-nucleotide ribosomal RNA is filed under the name uncultured bacterium. RNAcentral describes it as "partial 16S ribosomal RNA". It matches the Rfam family "Bacterial small subunit ribosomal RNA", at positions 103 to 354 of the family's 1533-position model. The record is from RNAcentral.
CGGGUGAGUAACGCGUGGAAAACCUGCCGUAUACUGGGGGAUAACACUUAGAAAUAGGUGCUGAUACCGCAUAAGCGCACAGCUUCGCAUGAAGCGGUGUGAACAACUCUGGUGGUAUACGAUGGUUCCGCGUCUGAUUAGCUAGUUGGUGGGGUAAUGGCCUACCAAGGCAACGAUCAGUAGCCGGCCUGAGAGGGUGAACGGCCACAUUGGGACUGAGACACGGCCCAAACUCCUACGGGAGGCAGCAG